GAUCCUAGCUCAGGAUAAACGCUAGCGGCAGGCCUAACACAUGCAAGUCGAGGGGCAUCGGAUAGAGUACUUCGGUACUCUUGCCGGCGACCGGCGGACGGGUGCGUAACGCGUAUGCAACCUACCUUCAACAGGGGGAUAAUCCGAAGAAAUUUGGUCUAAUACCCCAUAAUAUUCCGACAGGCAUCUGUCGGAGUUGAAAGCUUCGGUGGUUGGAGAUGGGCAUGCGUUGUAUUAGCUAGAUGGUG
RNAcentral lists this ribosomal RNA (248 nucleotides) under uncultured bacterium. RNAcentral's name for it is "partial 16S ribosomal RNA". It matches the Rfam family "Bacterial small subunit ribosomal RNA", at positions 15 to 254 of the family's 1533-position model. The record is from RNAcentral.